This 406-nucleotide ribosomal RNA is filed under the name uncultured bacterium. Its description in RNAcentral is "partial 16S ribosomal RNA". It matches the Rfam family "Bacterial small subunit ribosomal RNA", at positions 30 to 526 of the family's 1533-position model. The record is from RNAcentral.
AUUGAACGCUGGCGGCAGGCCUAACACAUGCAAGUCGAACGAGUUUCUUACUUGUGAUUAAUUUCUGGGAAACUUCCCGAUGGAGGGGGCUAACUCCUUGACACGGUAGCUAAUACCUCAUCCCAUCGUAUUUUCCCAGAUGGGAUUAGCUAGUAGGUGGGGUAACGGCUCACCUAGGCGACGAUCCCUAGCUGGUCUGAGAGGAUGACCAGCCACACUGGAACUGAGACACGGUCCAGACUCCUACGUGAGGCAGCAGUGGGGAAUAUUGCACAAUGGGCGCAAGCCUGAUGCAGCCAUGCCGCGUGUAUGAAGAAGGCCUUCGGGUUGUAAAGUACUUUCAGCGAGGAGGCGUUACUAGCAGAAGAAGCACCGGCUAACUCCGUGCCAGCAGCCGCGGUAAUAG